AUGUAUGUGCAAGUAUACUAAAAUUAAAACGAUACAGAGAAGAUUAGCAUUACCCCUGCACAAGAAUGAGAAGCAAAAUAAUGAAAAAAAUCUUAUUUCG
Zeugodacus cucurbitae (melon fly) is the source of this 100-nucleotide small nuclear RNA. NCBI's taxonomy places the organism in Eukaryota, Metazoa, Arthropoda, Insecta, Diptera, Tephritidae. The record is from RefSeq and is a predicted model, not a curated record.